RNAcentral lists this ribosomal RNA (250 nucleotides) under uncultured bacterium. RNAcentral's name for it is "partial 16S ribosomal RNA". It matches the Rfam family "Bacterial small subunit ribosomal RNA", at positions 524 to 773 of the family's 1533-position model. The record is from RNAcentral.
UACGGAGGGUGCAAGCGUUGUUCGGAAUCACUGGGCGUAAAGCGCGUGUAGGCGGCCAUCUAAGUCUGGUGUGAAAGCCCUGGGCUCAACUCAGGAAGUGCACUGGAUACUGGAUGGCUGGAGUACCGGAGAGGAGGGUGGAAUUCCUGGUGUAGCGGUGAAAUGCGUAGAUAUCAGGAGGAACACCGGUGGCGAAGGCGUCCCUCUGGCCGGAUACUGACGCUGAGACGCGAAAGCGUGGGGAGCAAAC